AGAGUUUGAUCAUGGCUCAGGACGAACGCUGGCGGCAUGCCUAACACAUGCAAGUCGAACGGGAUCCGGACUUCGGUUCGGUGAGAGUGGCGGACGGGUGAGUAACGCGUGGGAACCUGCCCAGUGGUGGGGGAUAACUGCGGGAAACUGCAGCUAAUACCGCAUGAGCCCGAGAGGGGAAAGAUUUAUCGCCAUUGGAGGGGCCCGCGUUCGAUUAGGUAGUUGGUGAGGUAAUGGCUCACCAAGCCGACGAUCGAUAGCUGGUCUGAGAGGAUGAUCAGCCACACUGGGACUGAGAUACGGCCCAGACUCCUACGGGAGGCAGCAGUGGGGAAUAUUGGACAAUGGGGGCAACCCUGAUCCAGCAAUGCCGCGUGAGGGAUGAAGGCCUUCGGGUUGUAAACCUCUUUUGUCAGGGACGAUGAUGACGGUACCUGACGAAUAAGCCACGGCUAACUACGUGCCAGCAGCGGCGGUAAUAC
This 482-nucleotide ribosomal RNA is filed under the name uncultured bacterium. RNAcentral describes it as "bacterial SSU rRNA". It matches the Rfam family "Bacterial small subunit ribosomal RNA", at positions 8 to 526 of the family's 1533-position model. The record is from RNAcentral.